RNAcentral lists this long non-coding RNA (326 nucleotides) under Carica papaya (papaya). Its description in RNAcentral is "long non-coding RNA (CPAP_LNC006730)". Lineage: Eukaryota; Viridiplantae; Streptophyta; Magnoliopsida; Brassicales; Caricaceae. The record is from RNAcentral.
ACUGCCCAGCAGGGUCGAGAGGAGAGAAGGGAACCACCCAACCCUCCCCCACUGCCACAAGUUGAGCCACCACUGCAGCAAGAGAAUCCCGAGCCACCCCGGUACGACCCUGCUCCUCCACAGUACCACCCGGUGCUACCACCGCAGUACAAUCCGGUGCCCAAACCACAGUACUGCCCGGCAACGCCACAGUAUAAUCCGGUGCCCCCACCAUACCAACAAGUACCACUACAGGGCCCCCCAGUUUAUCUUUAGCCUGGCCCAGUUCUCCUUCCGCGGGACCCAGCUCCUUCCUUGAUUGACCCAGGCUAGAUAGAGAGGUACAG